CAAACUUGAAUGAAAAGAAAUGAACCUCAUGUUUAUAGCAGCUUUAUUCAUAAUUGCCAAAACUUGGAAGCAACCAAGAUGUCCUUGAGUAGGAGAUGUGUUUCUCAAUAUGAAGGCAGUCACUUGAACAGACUUCAAGAAAAUAGCAUACUAUUAUACAGUUUGUCAAAUAAUUACAUUUGCUAUGUGCUUGGCACGUGCCUGCAACCAUGCUAGGCAUGGGGAAGAAAGAAUGGUGAAAUAUUCCAGCCCUUGAGUCGCUGCUGACAAAUAAUUCCAGAAAAGAAGCACGGACUAUGAAAAUGAGCAUCUCCCAGAGUAAUGUGGGUGCACGUGGGAGCUGGAUGCAGCAAGAAGGGGGGAACAGCCUCUCUCUGUGACUUUUCCUCGAGGACAUUACUUCUGAG
RNAcentral lists this long non-coding RNA (407 nucleotides) under Equus caballus (horse). RNAcentral's name for it is "lncRNA (ENSECAG00000045683.1)". The record is from RNAcentral. Lineage: Eukaryota; Metazoa; Chordata; Mammalia; Perissodactyla; Equidae.